RNAcentral lists this ribosomal RNA (834 nucleotides) under uncultured archaeon. Its description in RNAcentral is "bacterial SSU rRNA". It matches the Rfam family "Archaeal small subunit ribosomal RNA", at positions 55 to 872 of the family's 1478-position model. The record is from RNAcentral.
UAGUCGAGUGACUCAGGCAAAACGAGUCACGGCGCACAGCUCAGUAACACGUGGCUAAUCUGCCCUUGAGACGAGAAUAACCCCGGGAAACUGGGGCUAACUCUCGAUAGGCGAAGAACUCUGGAAUGAGUCUUCACCCAAAAAGCUUCACGUUAUCCUCGUGAAGUCGCUCAAGGAUGAGGCCGCGACCGAUCAGGUUGUUGGUGAGGUAAUGGCUCACCAAGCCUUUUACCGGUGCGGGCCGUGGGAGCGGGAGCCCGGAGAUGGGUACUGAGACAAGGACCCAGGCCCUACGGGGCGCAGCAGUCGCGAAAACUUUGCAAUACACGAAAGUGUGACAGGGCUAUCCCGAGUGCCAUCCUCUGAGGAAGGCUUUUACCCAGUCUAGAACGCUGGGGGAAUAAGGAGAGGGCAAGUCUGGUGUCAGCCGCCGCGGUAAUACCAGCUCUCCGAGUGGUGUGGAUGUUUAUUGGGCCUAAAGCAUCCGUAGCUGGCUAAGUUAGUCCCCUGUUAAAUCCACCGAAUUAAUCGUUGGAUUGCGGGGGAUACUGCUUGGCUAGGGGACGAGAGAGGCAGACGGUAUUUUCGGGGUAGGGGUGAAAUCCUAUAAUCCCGGGAAGACCACCAGUGGCGAAGGCUGUCUGCUAGAACGCGCCCGACGGUGAGGGAUGAAAGCUGGGGGAGCGAACCGGAUUAGAUACCCGGGUAGUCCCAGCUGUAAACGAUGCAGGCUAGGUGUUUGGACGGCCACGUGCCGUUCUAGUGCCGCAGGGAAGCUGUUAAGCCUGCCGCCUGGGGAGUACGAUCGCAAGAUUGAAACUAAAGGAAUGCGGG